CAGUCGCCGCGGGAAUACGAAGGGUGCAAGCGUUAAUCGGAAUUACUGGGCGUAAAGCGCGCGUAGGCGGCUUUUUAAGUCAGAGGUGAAAGCCCGGGGCUCAACCCCGGAAUUGCCUUUGAAACUGGAAAGCUAGAAUCUUGGAGAGGUCAGUGGAAUUCCGAGUGUAGAGGUGAAAUUCGUAGAUAUUCGGAAGAACACCAGUGGCGAAGGCGACUGACUGGACAAGUAUUGACGCUGAGGUGCGAAAGCGUGGGGAGCAAACAGGAUUAGAUACCCCCGUAGUCCCUGUCUCUUAUAC
Molecule: ribosomal RNA, 301 nt
Filed under: uncultured bacterium
Lineage: Bacteria
Description: partial 16S ribosomal RNA
Rfam family: Bacterial small subunit ribosomal RNA
Source: RNAcentral